This 2770-nucleotide long non-coding RNA is filed under the name Mus musculus (house mouse). Its description in RNAcentral is "long non-coding RNA chr14:63852715-63855485". The record is from RNAcentral. Lineage: Eukaryota; Metazoa; Chordata; Mammalia; Rodentia; Muridae.
GUUCAAGGUUCUCCCUUGAAUUCUAUGGCUACAGAAGGCCCUCAAGUGGCUCUUUUGAAAAAUGAUGAAUUUAUAUGGCUAGUAAGCCACACAGCCAACUUGUUCCCUCAGGAGAAGGAGCUGUCACUACUUCAAAUUAGGAGCAUAAGCCCUAAAACUAAUAUGCUUGAUAUUGGCAAUAACAAUUAUCAUUAUUUUCUCUUUUUAAAAAGCUAAGAAACAAUCAAAUUUGCAAACAUUCUUUCAUAACCUAACUAUCUUAAAAUGGCUUCCCUGUGCACCUUCGGAUGUCAUUCUUAUAUAUGGGCACCUCUGCAUUCCUAAAAAACCUUCCAUUUUGUCUGUUACAAUUGGUUUUCUCUGUUCCCAUAUUUUGAAACUCUUCCAAGAAUAGGCAAGGCUGAUGAGCAAAGCACACUACUUGGCCAGCAGCUGAUGCCGCACACCAGCCAGUGUUCACAGUAGUCCUCCAGCCCAGGGAUGCUGCUCCACUGAGUUCAGCAGGUUCCUCAGAAGGAUACAUGCAGGGCUAGCAAAGCAACAAGGUGCCUGCCAGGAUUAUGUUCCUGAGGCUCAUGGGCAGGAGUUCUGAAGAGUGCUGCCUGCUUCCCAGUAUGGUAUGACCAGAGCCAGAGAGACUAUAAAGGUGACUGCAAUGUCCCAGUGGCUGUAGAUAAAUGGCUGGACUGUAGUUUAUUCUCUGUAGCCCCUUCCCAAGUGGCUUUGAGUGAUCUGUCAGGGAAAGGAACAGAUAAGCUAGAUUGCUUCUUAGAGGAUUUGGCUUGUAUUGUGUAUCACUUAGAAGAUAGGUUUAAUUGUGCACUAAAGUAGGAUUCAAGAAGGAAGUCAUCCACCAGUCCUCCUCAGCCAUGAUCAGUUAACUUGCUGCCAAUAUUGUUUUGUCCACAUUCCUACAGCAUGCUUGCCACGUUCUUGUUGAUGGUUUAUUCCUGUAAUCCUUACAGUCCUGUUACCCACUUCCUUUGGGUCCAAAUAAGACAACUCCUACCACAGAGGGACCAGGCCUGGAUCUAGCCCAGACAGCUGGCCAUUGUAGUGUUUUCUCUUGCAAAUGUCUCAUCCCCACCAAGGUCCUUUAGGGAGCUCCUGAAUAAUUUGCAUCUAGCAUUUUCCAGCUAUUCCUGCAGGCCCUAGGCAUCUCAUAAAGAGCCUUUUCUGGCUUGUUAUCACAUGUGGGAGGAUGGGGGAUGGCCUGAUUUACCCAGGUCAUACUUGGUUUGUAUGCAGGGAUAGGUAGCUAUGCCCUUUGGCAGAAAAUAUCCCCAGGUCCCCUUCUUUUACCCCAGAGCCUUAGCAGUCAGACCACCCAGCCUCUUGCCAGAGGUUAGCCUAGAAGAACAGGUAGCUGUUUGAGGUCACCCUUCCCAUAGCAUUAUCAGGGUCAUCUCCUUAGUCCAGAGCAUGGAGAAAGAGAAUAAUAGUUCUGCUUUCCUUUAUCUUCUGCAUGUCUCCUUCUGAAUAGAUUCAAACCACAAGAGCUCUUUCCCCCAUUCCCCAGAGGUCAUGUGGAACCUCACAGUUCCAUAGCCCUUAUAGCUAUCCUUCCAUCUGCUCAGGGGAGGGUGCCCAAUCUCCAGCCGAGUGUAGGUCUUAUGGUACAUGCAAGCAUCUGGCCUGGUUUUCCAGGAUGUAUGGUGUUCAAGGCCACUGAGACAGACCAGCAAGAUGAGAGCUGGGGUCUUGACCUAACUUCUGCAUGAACCUUGGUGCUUCCACCUGCCACUCACCAGAAAGGGACCACAGGAAACAGUCUGGAGAAUAGAAACUGGUUAGGUUGCCCCAAGUCUUGGAUGAGCCUUCUUUCCAUGGAGCCUCCCAAAGGGCAAGCCCUCUGCUAUUGUGUACUGUAAACCCAUGCUCCAGGAGCUGAGGUUUGCUGAGCUUGGGGAAAGUAGCUGAGGAGAAAGGGCCCCCUUCUCACCUUUUGUUCACCUUUGACCUGGCUGAAUUUAGCUGCUCUUAACCUCUAGUUUGCUAAAGUCCUUAUUGCCUUAAUGACCACCUACCAAACAGUCAGAACCAGGCGAGAAGUCCCUCCCAUGACAUAUCUUGGAAGCCUGCCUGUCCCCUUCACGCUGCUGUGCCUGAAAGGAGACCACACUCCCUCUCCAAAAUCCAGGGCCAUCUCUCACUGAUAGAGCAGUGUUCCCAGGCUAAGGACAAACCCAGGACUGCUCAGGCUGAGAGAUGCCCAGUGCCCAUGGUGGCCACUGUUGACCCUGCUCCAUUCUUUGGUCUCCACUGCUUCAGAUCUGGACUCCUCCCUAUCCUCCACCUCCACCUCCCGCCCAGAGACCCUUUGCCCCAUCAUGCUCAGUGCUGUUCCUGAAGACCAUGUAGACUUUUCUGUUCUCUGGAACAUUCUACUCACCUUCGGCUGUAGCGCAUCCAUUCCUUCAGCCUCUCCACCAAGCUCUUUAAGUGAAAGGCAGUGGCUGUCUUCCCUUGGACAAUAAUGAAUGUAUCUACUGUAAGUGCAGACCAUGUAGAGAAGUGGCUGGGUUCAGAAAAAAAAAAAAAGAGGGUUUUUGUAAAGCCUGUUUAUUUUUUUAAGUCAGUUUUGAGCAUUUCUAUUUUAUCACCCUUCACGUGGUUUUGGGGAACCCAAAUUGUAUCAAGGUCUCAUGCCAAAACAAGCCAACCGUUGCUUUCUUCUCCUUUCUCCUCCAUGCACCAUGAUUUCAAAGAUUGUUUUGGUGUCGUUUUAAAUGUUUUCUUGUGACAUGUACUGACGAUAAAAGUCAUCUUG